UCCGGAAUCAAACUUCAUGAAUUUUAACCAAUAUUUUUCAAAACUUUUGUCUUCACCACAUUGAUAUGAAGAAUUGCAACUUAUAAUACUUUUGAUAUUGUUUUUGAAUAUAUAUAUUUUAAUCUUAAAAUAGUGAAUUAAUUUAAUCAAUUUAAUUUAGGAGAUUAAUCAGAUUGACUCUCAAGAAGCGAACUGUGACAACUAUUUUGAGACGGAGGGCGUAGCAUGUAAUGCUAGUGAGGAUGACCAGGUUCAAUGAACCUACAAAAGGAAUCUGCUGAAAUAACAGCCCUCAAUUCCAUUUGCAGGUUGAGAGUUCCUAUAAAGAAGCUUGAUUGAUGAUGAAAUGAAAUUCAAACACAAAGGUCUUCCCUUGUCUUUGUUUUUAUAGAAUUACUCCAAGGAUGUAACUGUGUCAUUAUUCUUCAUCUUCAAACUCUCUUCUCCUCCAAUCUCAACUAUGAGCUAGCUCAGGAAGCUGUGGCUAAAGUCUACGAAGACUUCAAGACCAUGAAGAGUCCUACGUAUGGUACAUUUACAACCUUGAAUUCAUGCCAACAAACUCAUCUGAAUAUCAGAAAUUUUUAAAACAAAAGAAACUCUCAGCUUAUUGUGUGACUAUGAUUACAAGAAAUGCUUCGCUUGAGGAAACUAAGGCCAUUUUAAGGAGCAUUUUUGCUAGCAGUUUCUUUUAAUUUGACUUGAAGAACGUCCAAAGAAUGGACUGGCUAAUAAAAGAACCUGAAAGAGUUACUAGUAGGUAUCGGUCGCGUGUCCGAUGAAAUAGUCGAGGUGGACCCACUAUAGUCCAGAUACCAUACCAUGCCACCAUUAUAAUUAAAAAAAAAACAAAUUGAAAGAAACAACGCACAAGUGGUAGAUGCAUAUUCACCGAGGAGUUCAUUAUCUAUUAUAUAUACAUAAGAAAAAAACCGUUGUUGUAUAUACAGUAUGAUUCCCGAUGAUGACGAUGCGGAUGAGCCCCUUUCGGCCCUGACUCCGUCCUUGAGCGCAGAAAGCAUCAAUUGAUGAGUUCCCCCUGUAAACUUCAUUGUUAUUGUCUCAGAUACUUAUUUCUUCUUUCCUCGUCGAAUAAAAGGAUAUUCACCUUCUUUUUAUAAGUUAACAUUUAAUGAAAAAUUCACACUACCUUGUAA
This is a long non-coding RNA of Lycium ferocissimum, 1157 nucleotides long. RefSeq lists it as uncharacterized. The record is from RefSeq and is a predicted model, not a curated record. Lineage: Eukaryota; Viridiplantae; Streptophyta; Magnoliopsida; Solanales; Solanaceae. The transcript has 2 exons.